Molecule: ribosomal RNA, 548 nt
Filed under: fungal endophyte
Lineage: Eukaryota; Fungi
Description: eukaryotic LSU rRNA
Rfam family: 5.8S ribosomal RNA (bases 190-343)
Source: RNAcentral
UGCGGAAGGAUCAUUACUGAGUGAGGGCCCUCUGGGUCCAACCUCCCACCCGUGUUUAUUGUACCUUGUUGCUUCGGUGCGCCCGCCUCACGGCCGCCGGGGGGCUUCUGCCCCCGGGUCCGCGCGCACCGGAGACACUAUUGAACUCUGUCUGAAGAUUGCAGUCUGAGCAUAAACUAAAUAAGUUAAAACUUUCAACAACGGAUCUCUUGGUUCCGGCAUCGAUGAAGAACGCAGCGAAAUGCGAUAACUAAUGUGAAUUGCAGAAUUCAGUGAAUCAUCGAGUCUUUGAACGCACAUUGCGCCCCCUGGUAUUCCGGGGGGCAUGCCUGUCCGAGCGUCAUUGCUGCCCUCAAGCACGGCUUGUGUGUUGGGCUCCGUCCCCCCGGGGACGGGUCCGAAAGGCAGCGGCGGCACCGAGUCCGGUCCUCGAGCGUAUGGGGCUUUGUCACCCGCUCUGUAGGCCCGGCCGGCGCCAGCCGACAACCAAUCAUCCUUUUUUCAGGUUGACCUCGGAUCAGGUAGGGAUACCCGCUGAACUUAAGCAU